RNAcentral lists this ribosomal RNA (200 nucleotides) under uncultured bacterium. RNAcentral describes it as "partial 16S ribosomal RNA". It matches the Rfam family "Bacterial small subunit ribosomal RNA", at positions 524 to 723 of the family's 1533-position model. The record is from RNAcentral.
UACGGAGGGUGCAAGCGUUGUUCGGGAUUUACUGGGCGUAAAGCGCGCGCAGGUGGAUGGACAAGUCGGAAGUGAAAUCUUGAGGCUCAACCUCGAGGCUGCUCCCGAAACUGUUCGUCUAGGGACUGGUAGAGGCUGGUAGAAUUCCCGGUGUAGCGGUGGAAUGCGUAGAGAUGGGGAAGAAUCCUGUGGCGAAGGCG